This 526-nucleotide ribosomal RNA is filed under the name uncultured bacterium. RNAcentral describes it as "bacterial SSU rRNA". It matches the Rfam family "Bacterial small subunit ribosomal RNA", at positions 777 to 1303 of the family's 1533-position model. The record is from RNAcentral.
AAUAGAUACCCCGGUAGUCCACGCCGUAAACGAUGAGUGCUAAGUGUUGGAGGGUUUCCGCCCUUCAGUGCUGCAGCUAACGCAUUAAGCACUCCGCCUGGGGAGUACGGUCGCAAGACUGAGACUCAAAGGAAUUGACGGGGGCCCGCACAAGCGGUGGAGCAUGUGGUUUAAUUCGAAGCAACGCGAAGAACCUUACCAGGUCUUGACAUCCUCUGACAAUCCUAGAGAUAGGACGUUCCCUUCGGGGACAGAGUGACAGGUGGUGCAUGGUUGUCGUCAGCUCGUGUCGUGAGAUGUUGGGUUAAGUCCCGCAACGAGCGCAACCCUUGUCCUUAGUUGCCAGCAUUCAGUUGGGCACUCUAAGGAGACUGCCGGUGACAAACCGGAGGAAGGUGGGGAUGACGUCAAAUCAUCAUGCCCCUUAUGACCUGGGCUACACACGUGCUACAAUGGAUGGUACAAAGGGCUGCGAAACCGCGAGGUUGAGCCAAUCCCAUAAAGCCAUUCUCAGUUCGGAUUGGUA